CUAAGUUUCAACAACGGAUCUCUUGGCUCUCGCAUCGAUGAAGAACGCAGCGAAAUGCGAUAAGUAAUGUGAAUUGCAGAAUUCAGUGAAUCAUCGAAUCUUUGAACGCACCUUGCGCUCCUUGGUAUUCCUUGGAGCAUGCCUGUUUGAGUAUCAUGAAAUC
Molecule: ribosomal RNA, 163 nt
Filed under: Thanatephorus cucumeris
Lineage: Eukaryota; Fungi; Basidiomycota; Agaricomycetes; Cantharellales; Ceratobasidiaceae
Description: 5.8S ribosomal RNA
Rfam family: 5.8S ribosomal RNA
About the family: 5.8S ribosomal RNA (5.8S rRNA) is a component of the large subunit of the eukaryotic ribosome.
Source: RNAcentral